RNAcentral lists this ribosomal RNA (404 nucleotides) under uncultured bacterium. RNAcentral's name for it is "partial 16S ribosomal RNA". It matches the Rfam family "Bacterial small subunit ribosomal RNA", at positions 28 to 526 of the family's 1533-position model. The record is from RNAcentral.
GAUGAACGCUGACAGAAUGCUUAACACAUGCAAGUCAACUGUGGCGGACGGGUGAGUAACGCGUAAAGAACUUGCCUCACAGAUAGGGACACCAUUUGGAAACGAAUGCUAAUACCUGAUACUGUGAGAGGGCUUUGCGUCCCAGUAGCUAGUUGGAGAGGUAACGGCUCACCAAGGCGAUGAUGGGUAGCCGGCCUGAGAGGGUGAUCGGCCACAAGGGGACUGAGACGCCACCGUUACUCCUACUGGGGGCAGCAGUAGGAAAUAUUGGACAAUAGACCAAAGUCUGAUCCAGCAAUUCUGUGUGAACGAUGAAGUUUUCGAAAAGUAAAGUUCUUGCAUAUGGGAAGCGGUACCUACAGAAGAAGUAACGGCUAAAUACGUGCCAGCAGCCGCGGUAAUUC